This 460-nucleotide ribosomal RNA is filed under the name uncultured bacterium. Its description in RNAcentral is "partial 16S ribosomal RNA". It matches the Rfam family "Bacterial small subunit ribosomal RNA", at positions 338 to 795 of the family's 1533-position model. The record is from RNAcentral.
CCUACGGGUGGCAGCAGUGAGGAAUAUUGGUCAAUGGACGAGAGUCUGAACCAGCCAAGUAGCGUGAAGGAUGACUGCCCUAUGGGUUGUAAACUUCUUUUAUAAAGGAAUAAAACGAGGCACGUGUGCCUGUUUGCAGGUACUUUAUGAAUAAGGAUCGGCUAACUCCGUGCCAGCAGCCGCGGUAAUACGGAGGAUCCGAGCGUUAUCCGGAUUUAUUGGGUUUAAAGGGAGCGUAGAUGGGGUGUUAAGUCAGUUGUGAAAGUUUGCGGCUCAACCGGAAAAGUGCAAUUGAUACUGGCAGUCUUGAGUAGAGUUGAGGUAAGCGGAAUUCGUGGUGUAGCGGUGAAAUGCUUAGAUAUCACGAAGAACCCCGAUUGCGAAGGCAGCUUACUAACCUGUGACUGACAUUGAGGCUCGAAAGUGUGGGUAUCAAACAGGAUUAGAUACCCGAGUAGUC